Molecule: non-coding RNA, 588 nt
Organism: Labrus bergylta (ballan wrasse)
Lineage: Eukaryota; Metazoa; Chordata; Actinopteri; Labriformes; Labridae
Source: RefSeq, a predicted model, not a curated record
UGGUAGUUAUCAGUCUACUAGUGUCUCCUUGUAGUUUUGUUUUGGAUUUUGCUAGCAAGUUUUUGUUUUCCUUUUUUGAUUAUUAAAUACUUUUAGUUUAUUCUACACUUGGGUCCACCUCUCCUUGUUUUCCAACCAUUCAUGACAAUUUGUAUCUUGUUGUCAGAGCAUCUAGGAGGGAUGUUACAGCAACUACAACAACUACCAAUCUAGUUGAAGGCUCUUUCCUCUUGGAUGGAGUUUGUUCUUUUUUCACAUUCAAUUUCACCACUGUGUUCUCUCCAUAUUGAUCUCUACUGAGUACCAGAGGAGGACUCACCAUGUGCCUAAAAGGAUUUGAGUAACCAUGUCAACAUGACACUUCUGAAGACCUGUGUCAUCCUUCUCCUUCUGACUGUGUUGUUCUUUGUACUAAGAAACAUGGACCUGCUGCAGAGGCUCUCUCAGCCACCUCCCCCAUCCUGCGGUCUGCAGUCUUCCUCUCCUUUCCUGUCACACCCAUGGCUGUGAUAAUCCUCUACACUGACUGAGCCAGGAAUCCUCUACAUCUGACUUCGAUUGGGAAUAGCCACGCCUGCCAACCUUUUC